GGUUAAGCGACUAAGCGUACACGGUGGAUGCCCUGGCAGUCAGAGGCGAUGAAGGACGUGCUAAUCUGCGAUAAGCGUCGGUAAGGUGAUAUGAACCGUUAUAACCGGCGAUUUCCGAAUGGGGAAACCCAGUGUGUUUCGACACACUAUCAUUAACUGAAUCCAUAGGUUA
Molecule: ribosomal RNA, 172 nt
Filed under: Escherichia coli
Lineage: Bacteria; Pseudomonadati; Pseudomonadota; Gammaproteobacteria; Enterobacterales; Enterobacteriaceae
Also listed under: 1 other name
Description: partial 23S ribosomal RNA
Rfam family: Bacterial large subunit ribosomal RNA
Source: RNAcentral